AGGUAUGCUGGAGGUAUCAGAAGUGCGAAUGCUGACAUAAGUAACGAUAAUGCGGGUGAAAAACCCGCACGCCGGAAGACCAAGGGUUCCUGUCCAACGUUAAUCGGGGCAGGGUGAGUCGACCCCUAAGGCGAGGCUGAAAAGCGUAGUCGAUGGGAAACGGGUUAAUAUUCCCGUACUGGUGGUAACUGCGAUGGGGGAACGGAGAAGGCUAGGUUGUCCGGGCGACGGUCGUCCCGGUUCAAGCAGGUAGGCAGAGUGAUUAGGCAAAUCCGGUCACUUAAUGCUGAGAUGUGAUGACGAACCACCAAGGUGGUGAAGCAAUUGAUGCCCCGCUUCCAGGAAAAGCCUCUAAGCUUCAGGUUACCAACAAUCGUACCCCAAACCGACACAGGUGGUCAGGUAGAGAAUACUCAGGCGCUUGAGAGAACUCGGGUGAAGGAACUAGGCAAAAUGGUGCCGUAACUUCGGGAGAAGGCACGCUGGCGGUAGGUAAAGUCCCUCGCGGACAGAGCUGAAGCCAGUCGAAGAUACCAGCUGGCUGCAACUGUUUAUUAAAAACACAGCACUGUGCAAACACGAAAGUGGACGUAUACGGUGUGACGCCUGCCCGGUGCUGGAAGGUUAAUUGAUGGGGUUAGCGCAAGCGAAGCUCCUGAUCGAAGCCCCAGUAAACGGCGGCCGUAACUAUAACGGUCCUAAGGUAGCGAAAUUCCUUGUCGGGUAAGUUCCGACCUGCACGAAUGGCGUAAUGAUGGCCAGGCUGUCUCCACCCGAGACUCAGUGAAAUUGAACUCGCUGUGAAGAUGCAGUGUACCCGCGGCAAGACGGAAAGACCCCGUGAACCUUUACUAUAGCUUGACACUGAACAUUGAGCCUUGAUGUGUAGGAUAGGUGGGAGGCUUUGAAGUGUGGACGCCAGUCUGCAUGGAGCCAACCUUGAAAUACCACCCUUUAACGUUUGAUGUUCUAACCUAGGCCCAUAAACUGGGUCGGGGACCGUGUCUGGUGGGUAGUUUGACUGGGGCGGUCUCCUCCUAAAGAGUAACGGAGGAGCACGAAGGUUGGCUAAGCAUGGUCGGACAUCAUGCGGUUAGUGCAAAGGCAUAAGCCAGCUUGACUGCGAGAGUGACGGCUCGAGCAGGUACGAAAGUAGGUCUUAGUGAUCCGGUGGUUCUGAAUGGAAGGGCCAUCGCUCAACGGAUAAAAGGUACUCCGGGGAUAACAGGCUGAUACCGCCCAAGAGUUCAUAUCGACGGCGGUGUUUGGCACCUCGAUGUCGGCUCAUCACAUCCUGGGGCUGAAGUAGGUCCCAAGGGUAUGGCUGUUCGCCAUUUAAAGUGGUACGCGAGCUGGGUUUAGAACGUCGUGAGACAGUUCGGUCCCUAUCUGCCGUGGGCGUUGGAAGAUUGAGAGGGGUUGCUCCUAGUACGAGAGGACCGGAGUGAACGCACCACUGGUGUUCGGGUUGUCAUGCCAAUGGCAUUGCCCGGUAGCUAAGUGCGGAAGAGAUAACCGCUGAAAGCAUCUAAGCGGGAAACUUGCCUCGAGAUGAGUCUUCCCUGUCGCUUUAAGCGACCUAAAGGAACGUUUAAGACUAAGACGUUGAUAGGCUGGGUGUGUAAGCGUAGCGAUACGUUGAGCUAACCAGUACUAAUGAACCGUGAGGCUUAACCUG
This 1678-nucleotide ribosomal RNA is filed under the name Proteus mirabilis. Its description in RNAcentral is "partial 23S ribosomal RNA". It matches the Rfam family "Bacterial large subunit ribosomal RNA", at positions 1266 to 2925 of the family's 2925-position model. The record is from RNAcentral. Lineage: Bacteria; Pseudomonadati; Pseudomonadota; Gammaproteobacteria; Enterobacterales; Morganellaceae.